RNAcentral lists this ribosomal RNA (483 nucleotides) under uncultured bacterium. RNAcentral's name for it is "partial 16S ribosomal RNA". It matches the Rfam family "Bacterial small subunit ribosomal RNA", at positions 28 to 507 of the family's 1533-position model. The record is from RNAcentral.
GACGAACGCUGGCGGCGUGCUUAACACAUGCAAGUCGAACGCUGAAGCUCAGCUUUUGUUGGGUGGAUGAGUGGCGAACGGGUGAGUAACACGUGAGUAACCUGCCCCCUUCUUUGGGAUAACGCCCGGAAACGGGUGCUAAUACUGGAUAUUCACUGGUCUUCGCAUGGGGGUUGGUGGAAAGGGUUUUUCUGGUGGGGGAUGGGCUCGCGGCCUAUCAGCUUGUUGGUGGGGUGAUGGCCUACCAAGGCUUUGACGGGUAGCCGGCCUGAGAGGGCGACCGGUCACAUUGGGACUGAGAUACGGCCCAGACUCCGACGGGGGGCAGCAGUGGGGAAUAUUGCACAAUGGGCGCAAGCCUGAUGCAGCGACGCCGCGUGAGGGAUGGAGGCCUUCGGGUUGUGAACCUCUUUCGCUCAUGGUCAAGCCGCAACAAUGGUUGUGGUGAGGGUAGUGGGUAAAGAAGCGCCGGCUAACUACGUG